Molecule: ribosomal RNA, 459 nt
Filed under: uncultured bacterium
Lineage: Bacteria
Description: bacterial SSU rRNA
Rfam family: Bacterial small subunit ribosomal RNA
Source: RNAcentral
UACGGAAGGCAGCAGUGGGGAAUAUUGCACAAUGGGCGAAAGCCUGAUGCAGCUAUGCCGCGUGUAUGAAGAAGGCCUUAGGGUUGUAAAGUACUUUCAUCGGGGAGGAAAAAACAAAACUAAUAAUUUUAUUUCUUGACGUUACCCGAAAAAGAAGCACCGGCUAACUCCGUGCCAGCAGCCGCGGUAAUACGGAGGGUGCUAGCGUUAAUCAGAAUUACUGGGCGUAAAGAGCACGUAGGUGGUUUUUUUAAGUCAGAUGUGAAAUCCCUGGGCUUAACCUGGAACUGCAUUUUGAAACUGAAAUACUAGAGUAUCGUAGAGGGAGGUAGAAUUCUAGGUGUAGCGGUGAAAUGCGUAGAUAUCUGGAGGAAUACCUGUGGCGAAAGCGGCCUCCUAAACGAAUACUGACACUGAGUGCGAAAGCGUGGGGAGCAAACGAGGGAUUAGGAUACCCGU